This 489-nucleotide ribosomal RNA is filed under the name uncultured bacterium. RNAcentral describes it as "partial 16S ribosomal RNA". It matches the Rfam family "Bacterial small subunit ribosomal RNA", at positions 30 to 507 of the family's 1533-position model. The record is from RNAcentral.
UUGAACGCUGGCGGCAGGCCUAACACCUGCAAGUCGAACGGUAACAGGAAACAGCUUGCUGUUUCGCUGACGAGUGGCGGACGGGUGAGUAAUGUCUGGGAAACUGCCUGAUGGAGGGGGAUAACUACUGGAAACGGUAGCUAAUACCGCAUAACGUCGCAAGACCAAAGAGGGGGACCCUCGGGCCUCUUGCCAUCGGAUGUGCCCAGAUGGGAUUAGCUUGUUGGUGGGGUAACGGCUCACCAAGGCGACGAUCCCUAGCUGGUCUGAGAGGAUGACCAGCCACACUGGAACUGAGACACGGUCCAGACUCCUACGGGAGGCAGCAGUGGGGAAUAUUGCACAAUGGGCGCAAGCCUGAUGCAGCCAUGCCGCGUGUAUGAAGAAGGCCUUCGGGUUGUAAAGUACUUUCAGCGGGGAGGAAGGGAGUAAAGUUAAUACCUUUGCUCAUUGACGUUACCCGCAGAAGAAGCACCGGCUAACUCCGUG